RNAcentral lists this ribosomal RNA (293 nucleotides) under uncultured bacterium. Its description in RNAcentral is "partial 16S ribosomal RNA". It matches the Rfam family "Archaeal small subunit ribosomal RNA", at positions 455 to 747 of the family's 1478-position model. The record is from RNAcentral.
GUGCCAGCCGCUGCGGUAAUACCGGCAGCCCGAGUGAUGGCCGCUGUUAUUGGGCCUAAAGCGUCCGUAGCUGGCCGCACGAGUCCGUCGGGAAAUCCGCCCGCUCAACGGGCGGCCGUCCGGCGGAACCUGUGUAGCUUGGGACCGGGAGGCUCGAGGGGUACGUCCGGGGUAGGAGUGAAAUCCCGUAAUCCCGAACGGACCACCGAUGGCGAAAGCACCUCGAGAAGACGGCUCCGACGGUGAGGGACGAAAGCUAGGGUCUCGAACCGGAUUAGAAACCCCGGUAGUCC